Molecule: transfer RNA, 71 nt
Filed under: Frankiaceae bacterium
Lineage: Bacteria; Bacillati; Actinomycetota; Actinomycetes; Frankiales; Frankiaceae
Description: tRNA-Gly
Rfam family: tRNA
About the family: Transfer RNA (tRNA) molecules are approximately 80 nucleotides in length.
Source: RNAcentral
GUGGACGUGGUGUAGCGGCAACAUCCCUGGCUUCCACCCAGGUGUCGUCGGUUCGAUCCCGACCGUCCGCA